UAGGGAAUCUUCCACAAUGGACGAAAGUCUGAUGGAGCAACGCCGCGUGAGUGAAGAAGGUUUCGGAUCGUAAAGCUCUGUUGUUGGUGAAGAAGGAUAGAGGCAGUAACUGGUCUUUAUUUGACGGUAAUCAACCGAGAAAGUCACGGCUAACUACGUGCCAC
Molecule: ribosomal RNA, 164 nt
Filed under: uncultured bacterium
Lineage: Bacteria
Description: partial 16S rRNA
Rfam family: Bacterial small subunit ribosomal RNA
Source: RNAcentral